GCCAGGUGUGGUGGCGCACACCUGUAAUCCCAGCUCCUGGGGAGGCAGAGGUGGGAGGAUUGCUUGAACCCGGGAGGCAGAGGUUGUAGUGAGCUGAGAUGGCACCACUGCACUCCAGCCUGGGUGACACAGCAAGACUCCAUCUCAU
Molecule: signal recognition particle RNA, 148 nt
Filed under: Macaca fascicularis (crab-eating macaque)
Lineage: Eukaryota; Metazoa; Chordata; Mammalia; Primates; Cercopithecidae
Also listed under: 2 other names
Description: Metazoan signal recognition particle RNA (ENSMFAG00000063553.1)
Rfam family: Metazoan signal recognition particle RNA
About the family: The signal recognition particle (SRP) is a universally conserved ribonucleoprotein. It is involved in the co-translational targeting of proteins to membranes.
Source: Rfam by way of RNAcentral